UGAGGAAUUUUGCGCAAUGGGCGAAAGCCUGACGCAGCAAUGCCGCGUGGAGGAAGACGGCCUUCGGGUUGUAAACUCCUUUUAUAAAGGAAGAUUAUGACGGUACUUUAUGAAUAAGGGCCUGCUAACUACGUGCCAGCAGCAGCGGUAAUACGUAGGGCUCGAACGUUACCCGGAUUCAUUGGGCGUAAAGCGCGCGUAGGCGGAUUAGUAAGUCAAAUAUUAAAGACAUCGGCCCAACCGGUGGAAAGUGUUUGAAACUGCUCAUCUAGAGAGUGGUAGAGGCAAAUGGAAUUCUCGGUGUAGGGGUAAUAUCCGUAGAUAUCGAGAAGAACACCAAAGGCGAAGGCAGUUUGCUGGACCAUUUCUGACGCUGAGGUGCGAAAGCGUGGGGAGCGAACGGG
This 404-nucleotide ribosomal RNA is filed under the name uncultured bacterium. RNAcentral's name for it is "bacterial SSU rRNA". It matches the Rfam family "Bacterial small subunit ribosomal RNA", at positions 355 to 776 of the family's 1533-position model. The record is from RNAcentral.